UACGGAGGGUGCGAGCGUUGUCCGGAAUCACUGGGCGUAAAGGGCGCGUAGGUGGCGCGGCAAGUCAACGGUGAAAGCUCGACGCUCAACGUCGAGUCGGCCGUCGAUACUGCUGGGCUUGAGCACUGUAGAGGCAGAUGGAAUUCCGGGUGUAGCGGUGGAAUGCGUAGAGAUCCGGAAGAACACCGGUGGCGAAGGCGGUCUGCUGGGCAGUAGCUGACACUGAGGCGCGAAGGCUAGGGUAGCAAACAGG
This 253-nucleotide ribosomal RNA is filed under the name uncultured bacterium. RNAcentral describes it as "partial 16S ribosomal RNA". It matches the Rfam family "Bacterial small subunit ribosomal RNA", at positions 524 to 776 of the family's 1533-position model. The record is from RNAcentral.